This 384-nucleotide small RNA is filed under the name Histoplasma capsulatum var. duboisii H88. Its description in RNAcentral is "Histoplasma capsulatum H88 hypothetical RNA". Lineage: Eukaryota; Fungi; Ascomycota; Eurotiomycetes; Onygenales; Ajellomycetaceae. The record is from RNAcentral.
GGUUGAGAGUUGAGAGUGGGAUGGAUUGUUGUUAUCGUAAUGUAAAUUGUAAAUUGUAAAUAGAUAACACGAUUUUUUUUUCGCGUUUCCUCGAUUUAACGAAUGCAUGCAUUACUACGGGAAAUUGGCAAACAUGGGAAAUGACAUAUGUUUAAGCUUAUAGCUGCCAUUUAGAAUUACUAGAAAUUAUAUUCCUUUUAUGAUGUAUAUAUAUAAAUAUUGCUUGAAUCCCGAGCACCAAACUUCCUACUCGUUGGUACAAAAACGAAUAAGCCAGAUCAAAUAUUGAAUAAGCAAGCCCUGAAAACGCAAGACAACAUGAUGUAUUACCGUACGUGUAUACUAAUACUAAUAUCCAACCUAUAUAGAAAGUCAUACUGGCAG